AAAAACUCAGAAGACCAUGGACCACUCCUGCCACUCGUUGUAAGAAAGAUGAUCAUAAAUCCAAUCUGAUAUUAGUUCUGUAAACCUAAAUUUUUGUCCUAAUCUAUAAUACCAACAAAUUUAGGUCGACAAAAAAAAUCAAUACGAAGAGAUCAUGCUUAAUUUUAUAAAUGGCUGACCUCAGGGAAAAAUGUUGCGAGGAUUGGGGAAAAAUUGUUGCACAUCAAUCUUUCUUCAUGACGAAAAUGAUGCCCACCUAUCUUGCUUACAAAAUGAUAUAUUUUACGAUUGGUGUAGGGUCAUAUGCAUUAUCACUUCUUCUCAAUUUUAUGCUGUUUUUUUCAUAUGAUCAGAGAUAAAUUGUGCCUCUGUUAUGAUAGGAUACAUACAUUUUAAUAUUAGUUAUACACUCAGCAAUAUUUAUUGUUUCAAACAUAGUCUCUCAGAUUAGCGCUACACUUUCCUAUGAUUCCAUUGCUUUGUUCGCCUUUGAUUAAUUAUUGUUUGUUCGAUCAUAUUGGUUGACGUGGAAUACAAAACAGUCAGGGGUCUUCUUUGUGAAAUGAGUUCAUUCGAACACAGCCUAAUUGGGUUACAGUUCUUUGAUGGGAUUCAGGAAGGCACAUAUGAAUGGUGCAUAGAAUUUAUCUAAUUUAUCUAAAUGCUCCAAAACACUACUUUGUGCAAUAUUUUUUGGUACAGCACCAAUUCUCCUUUAUGUUCACCGUUCUUCUUGUUGAGCAAGCAUUUAGAGGUGCCAUCUCCCAGCUUCGAAGCUAAUUUUUGAUGCAAGGUUUGGCU
This 801-nucleotide long non-coding RNA is filed under the name Oryza sativa (Asian cultivated rice). Its description in RNAcentral is "long non-coding RNA (OSAT_LNC000434)". The record is from RNAcentral. Lineage: Eukaryota; Viridiplantae; Streptophyta; Magnoliopsida; Poales; Poaceae.